This is a long non-coding RNA of Rosa chinensis, 456 nucleotides long. RefSeq lists it as uncharacterized. Lineage: Eukaryota; Viridiplantae; Streptophyta; Magnoliopsida; Rosales; Rosaceae. The record is from RefSeq and is a predicted model, not a curated record. The transcript is spliced from 2 exons.
AUGUCGUUGUCAAAAUUUUCCUCUGUCUCGGAGGCCAUGGCCUUUCGGGCAAAGGCAAAUCAGGUUCUUCGAGUUGUGGGUUAUGCAUCUGUAGCCUACUUUUUAUUCCAGACGGUCCCAUCGUUCGUAAGCGCCUCCAAAACGGACAGCAAGCGUAAGAAACUAAUGUCACAGUUUCUGAUGAGAAACAGAGGCGAAGACUUUAAUUGAAGGGUUCCCUAUCUAAUUUAGUUUAGAGUAGCGUCCUUACGGGUGCAUGUAACGUAAUAGCAAUGGGUGUCGUGUGUUAGGAUAUGGCCGUCUCUUCAAGACCUUGCUAUGUAUUUAUCUACGUCUAUAUAUGCGGGUGUUUUUGCUACGUCUAAAUGUGGAUCAUUGUCAUCUUUUGCAUGCCUUAGUGUCUCUGUGUUUUGAGACUCAAAAAUUAGUCAUUCUCAUUCAGUCGUUCUCAUUAAA